UACGGGGGGGGCAAGCGUUGUUCGGAAUUACUGGGCGUAAAGGGCUCGUAGGCGGCCAACUAAGUCGGACGUGAAAUCCCCAGGCUCAACUCCAGAACUGCCUUUGAUACUGGGAAGCUUGAGUCCGGAAGAGGUGAGUGGAACUCCGAGUGUAGAGGUGAAAUUCGUAGAUAUUCGGAAGAACACCAGUGGCGAAGGCGGCUCACUGGUCCGGUACUGACGCUGAGGUGCGAAAGCGUGGGGAGCAAACAGG
This 253-nucleotide ribosomal RNA is filed under the name uncultured bacterium. Its description in RNAcentral is "partial 16S ribosomal RNA". It matches the Rfam family "Bacterial small subunit ribosomal RNA", at positions 524 to 776 of the family's 1533-position model. The record is from RNAcentral.